RNAcentral lists this ribosomal RNA (465 nucleotides) under uncultured bacterium. RNAcentral's name for it is "partial 16S ribosomal RNA". It matches the Rfam family "Bacterial small subunit ribosomal RNA", at positions 28 to 507 of the family's 1533-position model. The record is from RNAcentral.
GACGAACGCUGGCGGUGUGCUUAACACAUGCAAGUCGAACGGUAAGGCCCUUUCGGGGGUACACGAGUGGCGAACGGGUGAGUAACACGUGAGUAACCUGCCCUCAUCUCUGGGAUAGCAGUCGGAAACGGUUGCUAAUACUGGAUAUGAGCCUGCAAGGCAUCUUGUGGGUUGGAAAGAUUUUUUGGUUGGGGAUGGACUCGCGGCCUAUCAGCUUGUUGGUGAGGUAGUGGCUCACCAAGGCUUCGACGGGUAGCCGGCCUGAGAGGGCGACCGGCCACAUUGGGACUGAGAUACGGCCCAAACUCCUACGGGAGGCAGCAGUGGGGAAUAUUGCACAAUGGACGGAAGUCUGAUGCAGCAACGCCGCGUGCGGGAUGACGGCCUUCGGGUUGUAAACCGCUUUCAAUUGUGACGAAGCUUUUUGUGACGGUAGCAGUAGAAGAAGCACCGGCUAACUACGUG